Molecule: ribosomal RNA, 266 nt
Filed under: uncultured bacterium
Lineage: Bacteria
Description: partial 16S ribosomal RNA
Rfam family: Bacterial small subunit ribosomal RNA
Source: RNAcentral
GUCCACGCUGUAAACGAUGAGUGCUAGUUGUUGGGAAGUUUACUUCUCAGUGACGCAGCUAACGCGUUAAGCACUCCGCCUGGGGAGUACGGCCGCAAGGUUAAAACUCAAAGGAAUUGACGGGGGCCCGCACAAGCGGUGGAGCAUGUGGUUUAAUUCGACGCAACGCGAAGAACCUUACCAACCCUUGACAUGUGUAUCGCGGAAACCAGAGACGGUUUCCUUCAGUUCGGCUGGAUACAACACAGGUGCUGCAUGGCUGUCGU